This 333-nucleotide long non-coding RNA is filed under the name Elaeis guineensis (African oil palm). RNAcentral's name for it is "long non-coding RNA (EGUI_LNC012522)". Lineage: Eukaryota; Viridiplantae; Streptophyta; Magnoliopsida; Arecales; Arecaceae. The record is from RNAcentral.
UUUCAAUACAAAUUUCAUAACAUAAAAGUCAACUGGCUAAUGUCAUUACAUGGCCCCAAAAUACAGAUCCUAGAAAGAACAAGAGACUAACACCUAGGAUCUAGUAAAGAUCAUGACUGGAUGGAUCGGAGUCAUCAGAGAUAGGAUGAGGAGAUGAUGGAUCUCGACCAGAAGAACGUCCUCUACCCCAUCUGCCUCUGGCACGAGCAGGUGAGCGAGAUGAACUAGGAGGCUGAGAACGCUGCGAGGCCAAAGACUGGACUGAAAGAGUGAGUCUGAUGGAAUCAAGAACGUUCAGUGCUCUGAAAACAGACUGAAGUAGAGCAGUGAACU